GUGGGGAGGGGGGGUACAGGCUGUGCUAUUCAGCGGGUUUGGUGCUCGUAGAAUUAGCCACCUGCCCUUGGCAGCGCAGGAGAGCGAGCGCCCGAAGGACAAUUUGCAUUGUGUGCGCCUUGCCUUGUUGGCGAGGAUGCGGGCGCUGGAGGGCUGGGCGGACGCUGGAGCCCCUCUCGCGUCUGCCCUCCGGCUUCUCUCGCGGCUGCCACAGCCUGGAACCAGCCAGCGUUGGUUUCCGACAACGGCGUUCUCUUUACCCUGUUCAGGCUUAAAGCACGGCUCUGAGCGCCCAAAGGGUAAGAAGAAGGAAAUCUUCAUUUUAGAAGAAGGUGGCGAUGGUGAAGAAGAAGAAGAAGAUGAUGCAACAGUAGCAGCAACGGGUGUUUUUUCAGCUGCCGCAGCAAUUCGCCGCGCACCUGUCGCCCGUGGAUAGAGUUGUCAUUCUCCUCUCUGUAAGGGGGUGGGGGUGGGGGGGGAAGAGAGGUUGUAAUCUGGAGCCCGGCUUUGAUUUAUUCCUUUUCUAUCAGUGAUUAAUGCGCCUUAAUUAGGUAAUCUCCAAACCAUUAUUUACAACGGGUGCGGACAAAGGGAAAAGCUGAUGAACCAGCACUUAAGUCGGUUUGAAAUUAUGGAGGUGGAGGAAGGGAAUUGGGGUGGGUGGGGGGGGGUAGGUGGGGGCAGCGGCAGGAGCCGGAGGGAGACAGGGAUGAGAGAGAGGGGAAAGAAUCGAUCCCAAUUCCGGGCAGUUUGGAAACCGGCAUCCCUCCAGCCACGAAGCCGCAUCCGUAAAGAAACAACGGCUGGUAUUUGGGACGCCGCUUCCCCCAGAAAGCUACCCCAUCCUUUUUUCUCUUUGGCUCCUGGCCUUUUAAUCUCUCUCCUUUAAAAUGAAAAAAAAAAGAGGUGAUGGUGGGGAAAUGGAAAAGAAAGCGGUGUGCUUCAAAAACGAGCAUUAGAUCAACAUGCAGUCGCCAUACCGUCCCGGAUUUCGUUCCAGAUCUUGGAGGAAGCUCCUACUUACCUACCUACCUCUCGACCGGCUGAAAUCCGGGAGACCC
This 1061-nucleotide long non-coding RNA is filed under the name Pogona vitticeps (central bearded dragon). RNAcentral describes it as "lncRNA (ENSPVIG00000008901.1)". Lineage: Eukaryota; Metazoa; Chordata; Lepidosauria; Squamata; Agamidae. The record is from RNAcentral.